UAUAAAAGAGACUUCAGAUACAGUAUUAGGGGACCCCUAAAGGUCUAUAUAAUAGACUAAACUUCAGAUACAGUAUUACGGGACCACUAUGGUCUAUAUAAAUAGACUUCAGAUACAGUAUGAAAAAA
This is a long non-coding RNA of Etheostoma spectabile (orangethroat darter), 128 nucleotides long. RefSeq lists it as uncharacterized. The transcript is spliced from 3 exons. The record is from RefSeq and is a predicted model, not a curated record. NCBI's taxonomy places the organism in Eukaryota, Metazoa, Chordata, Actinopteri, Perciformes, Percidae.